AUUGAACGCUGGCGGCAUGCCUUACACAUGCAAGUCGAACGGUAACAGGUCUUCGGAUGCUGACGAGUGGCGAACGGAUGAGUAAUACAUCGGAACGUGCCUAGUAGUGGGGGAUAACUACUCGAAGGAGUGGCUAAUACCGCAUGAGAUCUACGGAUGAAAGCAGGGGAUCGCAAGACCUUGCGCUACUAGAGCGGCCGAUGGCAGAUUAGGUAGUUGGUGGGAUAAAAGCUUACCAAGCCGACGAUCUGUAGCUGGUCUGAGAGGACGAUCAGCCACACUGGGACUGAGAAACGGCCCAGACUCCUACGGGAGGCAGCAGUGGGGAAUUUUGGACAAUGGGCGCAAGCCUGAUCCAGCAAUGCCGCGUGCAGGAUGAAGGCCUUCGGGUUGUAAACUGCUUUUGUACGGAACGAAAAGCCCCGGGUUAAUACCCUGGGGUCAUGACGGUACCGUAAGAAUAAGCACCGGCUAACCACGUGCCAGCAGCCGCCGUAA
RNAcentral lists this ribosomal RNA (498 nucleotides) under uncultured bacterium. RNAcentral's name for it is "partial 16S ribosomal RNA". It matches the Rfam family "Bacterial small subunit ribosomal RNA", at positions 30 to 523 of the family's 1533-position model. The record is from RNAcentral.